GAAAUGCGAUAAGUAAUGUGAAUUGCAGAAUUCCGUGAAUCAUCGAAUCUUUGAACGCAACUUGCGCUCCUUGGUAUUCCUUGGAGCAUGCCUGUUUGAGUAUCAUGAAAUCUUCAAAGUAAAUCUUUUGUUAACUCAAUUGGUUUCUACUUUGGUAUUGGAGGUCUUUGCAGCUUCACACCUGCUCCUCUUUGUUCAUUAGCUGGAUCUCAGUGUUAUGCUUGGUUCCACUCGGCGUGAUAAGUUAUCUAUCGCUGAGGACACUGUAAAAGGUGGCCAAGGUAAAUGCAGAUGAACCGCUUCUAAUAGUCCAUUGACUUGGACAAUACUUUUAUGAUCUGAUCUCAAAUCAGGUAGGACUACCCGCUGAACUUAAGC
Molecule: unclassified non-coding RNA, 378 nt
Filed under: plant metagenome
Description: partial contains 5.8S ribosomal RNA, internal transcribed spacer 2, and large subunit ribosomal RNA
Rfam family: 5.8S ribosomal RNA (bases 1-105)
Source: RNAcentral